This 447-nucleotide ribosomal RNA is filed under the name Vibrio sp. HR07-23. RNAcentral's name for it is "partial 16S ribosomal RNA". It matches the Rfam family "Bacterial small subunit ribosomal RNA", at positions 100 to 542 of the family's 1533-position model. The record is from RNAcentral. Lineage: Bacteria; Pseudomonadati; Pseudomonadota; Gammaproteobacteria; Vibrionales; Vibrionaceae.
GGACGGGUGAGUAAUGCCUAGGAAAUUGCCUUGAUGUGGGGGAUAACCAUUGGAAACGAUGGCUAAUACCGCAUAAUGCCUACGGGCCAAAGAGGGGGACCUUCGGGCCUCUCGCGUCAAGAUAUGCCUAGGUGGGAUUAGCUAGUUGGUGAGGUAAUGGCUCACCAAGGCGACGAUCCCUAGCUGGUCUGAGAGGAUGAUCAGCCACACUGGAACUGAGACACGGUCCAGACUCCUACGGGAGGCAGCAGUGGGGAAUAUUGCACAAUGGNNNNAAGCCNGAGGGNNNCCAUGCCGCGUGUAUGAAGAAGGCCUUCNNNNUGUAAAGUACUUUCANNUGUGAGGAAGGGGGUGUCGUUAAUAGCGGCNUCUCUUGACGUUAGCAACAGAAGAAGCACCGGCUAACUCCGUGCCAGCAGCCGCGGUAAUACGGAGGGNGNGAGCGUU